This 1028-nucleotide long non-coding RNA is filed under the name Bos indicus x Bos taurus (hybrid cattle). RNAcentral describes it as "lncRNA (ENSBIXG00005020840.1)". The stretch from base 508 to 579 matches the Rfam family "tRNA". Lineage: Eukaryota; Metazoa; Chordata; Mammalia; Artiodactyla; Bovidae. The record is from RNAcentral.
CAGGGCAGUUGCUGCAAGCCCAACCCCCAGGCUGGCCUGACCGUCCCCUCCCCCAGAGUAGCAGAGCCGGGAGGGCCGCCUCCAAACCUCCUCCCCAACGAGCCAUUAAGGAGCCCAAGAGUGGCCUGCAGUCCGCAGUCCCGGAAGGGAGACAGUAUUUAGUGGUUGUGCACUGUGCAGAGAUGUUUCCCAUAGGGUCCCACAGUGAUCCCGGAACCGCUGCGAAACCACAGGAAAACCUCCACCCACCAAGCCAAGUAUUACACCAAAGCACCCCCAGACCGGACAGCACAGGAACGUGGGGGUGGAUCAUCACCCACGACAGAGGAGCCGAUGAAACUCCCAGAGGUCAGAGACCUGGGCUCUGUUCCAGCUCUGCUUCCAGCCACCUGCGUGAUCCUGAAAAGCUCACCUGUAGAUGCAGGCUCUUGAGUAGGGGGGAGCAGGGAGUGAGCAAUAAUACACAGUAGCUUGGAUUUGCAUAAAGGUUACAUCAAAACCAGGGUUUCCCUGGUAGCUCAGAGGGUAAAGCGUCUGUCUGCAAUGCAGGAGACCUGGGUUCGAUCCCUGGGUCGGGAAGAUCCCCUGGAGAAGGAAAUGGCAACCCACUCCAGUAUUCUUGCCUGGAAAAUCCCAUGGAUGGAGAAGCCUGGUGGGCUACAGUCCACGGGGUCACAAAGAGUCGGAUAUGACUGAGCAACUUCACUUUCUUUCUUACAUCAAAACCAAACGAUAAUGGCUGGGGUGGCAGGGGAGAAGGAGAGGGUAGCAGGUAUGGAGAAAGGAACAGGGACGCUUACAUCACCAUAUGUAAAAUAGAUAGCCAAUGGGAGUUUGCUGUAUGACUCAGGGAACUCAAACCGGGGCUGGAUAACAGCCUAGAGGGAGGUGGGAGGGAUGUUCAAGUGGAAGGGGACACGAGUAAACCUAUGGCUGAUUCAUGUUGAUGUUUGGUGAAACCAAUGCAAUGCUAUAAAGCAAUUAUCCUUCAAUUAAAAAUAAAUAAAUAAAAAACCAAAUGAGAGUCA